GAAUGUCACAUCUUUACUAUAUAAUAGGAGUUCUGUACAAAAUAAAUAAAUAAUUACAUUAUAAGGAGACAACGGUCCAGCAACCCAAAGUUGACUGGGAGACGACGGCCUAGACCUCUCACGAACACAGCACAGCAUCCUCCAUGCGCCUCCUCCUGUGGUACUUGUUCUUGACCUGUGGGGGUGUGAGACAGCAAGAGUGAUCUCACAUACAUUCAUAGCUCAACAAGUUGUGGGGAAUAAUGUGCAUGAACUCGCCAAAAGUGAGAGCUCACGUGAAGUGUAAGACUUACCAAAGAGGAUGGUUGAAGCUGAGCAUUGCUUUUAAAGUGGGUCAAAAUUUCAUUAGCAGUUACUAAGUAUAAGUAAAUACCAACCCAAUUCAGUAGUAGAACAAAAGUAAUAACAACACCUACGAUGCAAUGCAUAUGAUAAAUUUAAUUUAGUUCCAUAAAUUAAACAUGUGUGUGUGUCCGAGCUGCUCAUGACCGUGAGCACGGCUAGUAUACCAGUUUUACACUCUGCAGAGGUUGCACAUCUUUACCCACAAGUCAUGUCACUCAUCUGCCAAGAGACGGCCAAUCCCAUACACCUCUACCGAGGAGACGAGGCAGGGUAACACUAUGAGGCCUUUACAAAGUUCCACUAUCUUCAGAAAACCCGCUACAGUUUCUAGGAAGCUCCAAUGAAGGGACCCCUCGCCUGACCGCCAUCGCAGCAAAAUCAACCCAAGGGCCUCCCUACACUGACCACUCCCCUACUGCCCUUGCCCCUUUCGGGUAAGGUAGUCCUCCACUAGCUUUCCUAAUUAGUCAGCCAAGGGCGUCCCAUACCACCAUUGUGGUAGCACUGUUUUCCCGGGUGGUUCUCCAUGUUCCAACUAACAUAAUGAUCUUAACAUGAACAGUAAAUAACAACUGAUAAUAAAAAUAUAAUCAUGAAUAGUGUAUAUAUCUAUGCCCAAAACCACAUAAAGCAAUAGCAGGUACUACCCAAAAAUUUAGUGGUAAACAAGGUAUAAAGAUAGUCAAACUAGGGUAACCUAUUGGGUCCCAUCAAAAUUAACCUAUGUAGAUCAUUAUGAUUAAUCAGAACAUGACUGGGUAAAAAGAAGUGAUCAAGGGCACAACUUGCCUGGGACUUGAGAUUCCAGGUACCAACUUGCUCUUCAGAUGACACGUGUCCUCACUGCUAAACGUAGCAAUACAGACAAACAUGGUAUACGCAAAAUUGACAUCUCACCAAACAUAAGAAUACAUUGCAUAAUAAUAAUCUACGGGAUGCUACGAGAUCAUGGGUUCGAGAACCACUAAAUUCGGAGUUACGGUUACCAAGUUUUGAAUUUCUGAAGUUAUUAAGCUCCUAGAAUAAAUUAAUUCAAUUGAACAAAUUUAAUUCAAGUUUCAUGGCUAAACAGAGAUACUAGGUGAUAAAUAAUGCUAAAACAAAAUUAAUGUCUCUUGAAUGAAUCAAUUUGGAGCCCAAUUGAAUUAAAUAUGAAUUUCACAAGUUUCUAUAAUUAUUUGUGUAUUGAAAAUCAAUUUCUAAAUUUAUUUAUCUGAUUUUUCUAUCUCCUGGGCUGAGCACCUAACUCCAGGAAGGUCAGGGGCUAACCUACAAAAAUUCCCCAGACACAGGCUUCAUCCUCCCUGGACGGCGGGUUGAUUAUGUAAAAUUCUAGGGUCUCUUAUGCAUAAGUCGCUCGGCGAAGGGGUAUGAAGCGAUACAGACCGCCCGAUCCAACCACAACGGCCCAGAUUAGAUUAUCAUAAUAUCCGAAUCGGUAUCCCCCGCUGGCGAUCGGAUCCCGAUCCAACGGUCUUGGUUUACUUCACCUAAAUUGUUAUACCCUGGAUAAUCUGCGCCCUCCAUCGGCCGAUCGACGACCCUGAUUCGGUAGGAUGAAAGGGGAAGCCCAACCUGAUCUCAGCCGUGCGCGAGGAAAUCAAUAACGCACGCGAUGUCAUCUUCCCAGAUCUAAUCUUAUUCGUUCCCUCCCCAUCCAACGGCUACCAGCCCAUCCUCUAUCUCCCAACAUCAGCCGAACCCCGACAGCAGAGCAGGAGCGUCACAGCGGUGCCAUCGACGAGCAACCCAGCCAGGAGAAUCCUCCCGCCCAGACCCAAAUUGAAAGGUGCCACACGCAGCAAAGAUUAUGGUGAAACGAGGGAGCUAGUUCUUACCUGUAACCAAGCAAUACAGAGCCCAGAUGACCCGACGGCGAUCUCACCCUUCAAAUCGUUCCCCGCACGAUUACCCCACGGUUCCGUUGAGCAAGAGCGAGGUAGACAAGGGUUGAAGGGUCCCCGGGGUCCCAUUUAUACACUGCUAGUAAGUCCGAUUGAGCCGAAUUUGUCGGACCACGCGCAUGGUGUUUGCGGCAAUACUAUUGCGGGGAUGACACUGGCCACACGGUCC
Molecule: long non-coding RNA, 2418 nt
Filed under: Zea mays
Lineage: Eukaryota; Viridiplantae; Streptophyta; Magnoliopsida; Poales; Poaceae
Description: long non-coding RNA (ZMAY_LNC000343)
Source: RNAcentral